ACUUACAUUCAUAUUUUAUAUACUUGUAAAUUAUAUAUUUAUUACUUUUUGCUAUUCAUUUGUACUUAUUUGAUGCUUCAGGUAUUGAAUUUCCCCUUUGGGGAUCAAUAAUGGCUGAUCUUAUCUUGUUAGAAAGUUAUGAAA
This is a long non-coding RNA of Siniperca chuatsi (mandarin fish), 144 nucleotides long. RefSeq lists it as uncharacterized. Lineage: Eukaryota; Metazoa; Chordata; Actinopteri; Centrarchiformes; Sinipercidae. The record is from RefSeq and is a predicted model, not a curated record. The transcript has 2 exons.